Molecule: ribosomal RNA, 197 nt
Filed under: uncultured bacterium
Lineage: Bacteria
Description: partial small subunit ribosomal RNA
Rfam family: Bacterial small subunit ribosomal RNA
Source: RNAcentral
AGGUGCUGCAUGGCUGUCGUCAGCUCGUAUCGUGAGAUGUUGGGUUAAGUCCCGCAACGAGCGCAACCCCUAUCCUUAGUUGCCACCAUUCAGUUGGGCACUCUAUAGAGACUGCCGNCGUUAAACCGGAGGAAGGNGGGGAUGACGUCAAGUCAUCAUGGCCUUUAUGUCCAGGGCUACACACGUGCUACAAUGGU